This 501-nucleotide ribosomal RNA is filed under the name uncultured bacterium. RNAcentral describes it as "partial 16S ribosomal RNA". It matches the Rfam family "Bacterial small subunit ribosomal RNA", at positions 28 to 507 of the family's 1533-position model. The record is from RNAcentral.
GACGAACGCUGGCGGCGUGCCUAAUACAUGCAAGUCGAGCGGACCGGAUUGGGGCUUGCCUUGAUUCGGUCAGCGGCGGACGGGUGAGUAACACGUGGGCAACCUGCCCGCAAGACCGGGAUAACUCCGGGAAACCGGAGCUAAUACCGGAUAACACCGAAGACCGCAUGGUCUUCGGUUGAAAGGCGGCCUUUGGGCUGUCACUUGCGGAUGGGCCCGCGGCGCAUUUGCUAGGUGGGGAGGUGACGGCUCACCAAGGCGACGAUGCGUAGCCCGACUGGGAGGGGGGACGGCCACCACGGGACUGGGACACGGCCCCGGCUCCUACGGGGGGCAGCAGGAGGGGAGCUUCCGCCAUGGGGGGAAGCCUGGAGGGGCGACGGCGGGGGGGCGAAGAAGGCCUUCGGGUCGUAAAGCCCUGUUGUGAGGGACGAAGGAGCGUCGUACGAAGAUGGCGGCGCGGUGACGGUACCUCACGAGAAAGCCCCGGCUAACUACGUG